RNAcentral lists this ribosomal RNA (201 nucleotides) under Clostridioides difficile. Its description in RNAcentral is "partial 23S ribosomal RNA". It matches the Rfam family "Bacterial large subunit ribosomal RNA", at positions 556 to 756 of the family's 2925-position model. Lineage: Bacteria; Bacillati; Bacillota; Clostridia; Peptostreptococcales; Peptostreptococcaceae. The record is from RNAcentral.
CCCUGCACUUACAAGCUGUGGAAGCACAUUUCUUGUGUGACCGCGUACUUUUUGUAGAACGGGCCAACGAGUUACGUUAAGUAGCAAGGUUAAGCCCUUAAGGUGCGGAGCCGUAGCGAAAGCGAGUUUUAACUGAGCGUUCAGUUACUUGACGUAGACCCGAAACCGGGCGACCUACCCAUGAGCAGGAUGAAGCGAAAG